Molecule: ribosomal RNA, 253 nt
Filed under: uncultured bacterium
Lineage: Bacteria
Description: partial 16S ribosomal RNA
Rfam family: Bacterial small subunit ribosomal RNA
Source: RNAcentral
UACGAAGGAUGCAAGCGUUAUCCGGGUUUAUUGGGUUUAAAGGGUGCGUAGGCGGACUUAUAAGUCAGUGGUGAAAUCUCUUCGCUUAACGAAGAACGUGCCAUUGAUACUGUAGGUCUUGAGUACAGAUGCCGUUGGCGGAAUGUGUCAUGUAGCGGUGAAAUGCAUAGAUAUGACACAGAACACCGAUUGCGAAGGCAGCUGACGAAACCGUAACUGACGCUGAGGCACGAAAGCGUGGGGAUCAAACAGG